AUAACAUCUAUUCACGCUUUAGCCCAAACUAGAUUGAAGAAGAUGCUAUUAGAGAAAGAAGAGAAAGAAAAGAAAAUGACAGAAGAUGAAGAAAAGAGAGAAAAAGAAUAUAAAGAAAAGAGAGAAAAGGAAGUAAAAGAAGUAUAGGAGAAAAAAAAGAGAGAAAAGGAAAAAAAAGAAGAAGAGAGCAUCUUGAUUUGUUAUUUAAAGGAAGCUGUAAUUUAUCUCGUGUUCUUUUAUAUCACAGGGAAGAGUUGUUCAUCAAUAAGGAGUGACACCAACAAUGGGGAUAAGAAAGAAUGAUAUUACUCAAGAAAUAUUUAUUUAUCAAAGAGAAAUUACAAAAGUAAUGGAAUGAAGAAAGGAUGACAUAAAAGGAAGACACAAACUUGGGAUUCAAUGAAUCUAUG
This 410-nucleotide long non-coding RNA is filed under the name Vigna radiata. RNAcentral describes it as "long non-coding RNA (VRAD_LNC010230)". The record is from RNAcentral. Lineage: Eukaryota; Viridiplantae; Streptophyta; Magnoliopsida; Fabales; Fabaceae.